GCUGCCGCUGCCGCCCAGGCUGGAAGCCCAGACACGGAAUCCCGAAUAACCAAAAGGACACUGUCUGUGAAGACACUUUCCCGAUUCUUCGACAAAGUCCAGGACCUGGGCAGAGACUCCAAGACAAGCUCAGCCGAGGUCACCAUCCAGGUAAGGGCAGGACGCUGGGGGACCCCAGGACAGUGUAGAAUCAGCUAGCGGAGGCUUCCGUGUGGCCAGAGAGAGUGCCCAACCCAAGCAGGGGCCUCUAGUCAGAGACACACAUGCGCAUAACAUACACACACCAC
This 287-nucleotide small RNA is filed under the name Pan troglodytes (chimpanzee). Its description in RNAcentral is "retained intron". Lineage: Eukaryota; Metazoa; Chordata; Mammalia; Primates; Hominidae. The record is from RNAcentral.